CCCUACACCGAUGGCCCCGGCCUCCGUUGCCAUGGCUGCCCUUUAGUUUGGGGUAAACAGGGCUCUUCUUCCUCCUCCUGUCCAGCUUACUGACACGCAAUUGUCUCUCCAGGGUUGGGCUGGAAUUCCAAGUGUGCAGGUACCCCCCGCCCCCAUCUUGGGAAGGCACAAGGUGAUGGCUAACUAAAAGAAGAAAAAUGUCUUUGGACCAUUACUUCUGGGUUAUCCACAUGACCGCUUCCCUCGAUGGAGCGCUGGAAAGAGCUUGCUCAGGCUGCGGACCGACUCCAGACUCAAGAGUCCUCCUACGGCCCCAGCUGCCACUUCCUCUAGUGGCCCUCUGCCCUUCUGAGCCAGCCGGCGCUCUCUCCCCCCUGGGCACCUACUACCGUGGGUUGGGCAGGCACGUUGGAGGACACGAAGACUCGAGAGACGCUGUUCCAUCCUGCAAGGCGGAGACCAGGACUUAAAUUCUUACAAGGCCACUGUGUCAAAGUGGGUGUCAGCACAAAUUCCUGACUAGGACAGGGGUGGGGGAAGCUGCUGGAGGGAGGCUUUAGGAAAGGCAGGGGGACAAGCACAGAGCGGUGGCCAGGGUCCAGAUAACACUGACUGACCCACCGCUGCCAGGCCCCAGUCCCCUAUCUCGUGUUCACCUCAGCCCUCUUGGGGGGCUGCCAUUAUCUGCAUUUUCAGGUGAGGAAAAGGAACAUUCGGAGAGACUUAAGUCACUUGCCCAACUUCACACACUUAGGAAGUGGCUCCCCAAUUCUUACUGCAUUCACUCUCCUGUGGCUUGCCAUCACCCCUGGCUGUGGGGCAGGGGCACAUGCGUGGGGACGGUCGCAGCAGUGAGGAAUCCGUGGAGUUCAGAUUCCAGUUCUUUUCCUCACAGCUGUGUGGACUUGGGCCCCUUUCCUUCCUUGCCUGACAGGGAGGGUUUUUAUGAGUUUAAAGGAGGUGAAGUGCGCGGUGCACACAGUAGGCCCUCAGGACACACCCCUCUGAUGCUCGCGCCCCCUUGGCCUUCUGCUUGAACCCAUCCUCACACAGAGCAAGCCACAACUUCCCAGAUGACGAUGCAGAGUCCACUUGCACAAGGCUCAACUUUUGGAAAGUCUUAGCUCGCAGUGAGAAGUCUCUCCCUGGGGCUCCUUCCUGCUGAUUCUAGCCAUCUCCCCUGGGCCGUGCAGAUGAAUGUCCCCCCUUUCUCCUGGCAGUCCAGCCUCUUCGCCAGGACUCACCCUCCUCGGUCCUGUGGUUGUGUGUCUGCCUCGCGGGGUUCCCAUUCUCCCCCGUCUCAGGCAUCUCCUUGCAUUGGCUUCCAUGUGUCCAGGCCCCCCUCAGAGUCAGACAAGAGUCAGGCCCUGUUCUCCAGGCACGUCACGAUCAGCGGGGAGAAAAUGGGCUCUCCCAAGCUUGCGUCUGCUGCUGAGGACCGUGGAGGGUUUCGUGGCAGCCUCAUCAUGCUGUGCCCUCAGGGAAGGUGUGUGCUUGUGUGCCCGUGGGAUGAACAGAGGUUGCUCCGGGGAGGGUCUGCACAUUCACUCUGCGACACCCACUCUGGGCUGGUGCCCGCCAGGCAGAGGCUGGCACGGAGGUAAGAACCAGACACAGACGCUAGAGGACCCCGCCCUGUCUGCCAGGAGCUGUGGUCUCAUGCUGGUGGGCUGAACACGAUGGCAGGGGGGCGAGGUCCAGCGGCUGUGGCAAAUGCACGCACCCAUCUGGCCGGAGCAGAAAGGGCUGGGGGGAAGCAGGGAGCUGUCGGAAGUGCAUCUGAGUCACCUCCUUGCUUCCCUUCACCUUGAACUCAGCCCUGCAAUCAACUGCCACAUCCUGUUGGUUCUUCCUUCUUACCGUAGCUCGAUUCCAUGCCUGCCUUCCCACCCCACUGCUCCUACCACACCACACGCCUCCUCAUGAGCGUUCUGCAAGAGCCGCUUCUCUCCUCUCCUGCCUCCAGUCUCACCUCUACCAUCUAACCUACGCAGCUCACUUCCUCUUCCUCAAGCUUUCACCUCCUGCUUUCACCAUGUCAUCUUCCUGCCACACACCUUCGUGGGACUCUGCAACCUACAGGAUAAACUGUCUUGCCUUUGAAACCCUCAGUCCCACCUGCCUCCUUACCCCCUAGUCUUUCUGCUCGUUCCAUGGGAUUCCUCUUCCGGUCCAGUGACUCCUCACAUUUCCAGGUCUUUUCAUCCAUAUUCUUUUGUGAAGACUCAGUCGAGCCCAAACCUAUUUUAUUAUUUUUCUUUUUUUUUUUAAGAUUUUAUUUAUUUAUU
Molecule: non-coding RNA, 2288 nt
Organism: Leptonychotes weddellii (Weddell seal)
Lineage: Eukaryota; Metazoa; Chordata; Mammalia; Carnivora; Phocidae
Source: RefSeq, a predicted model, not a curated record